AUUGAACGCUGGCGGCAUGCUUUACACAUGCAAGUCGAACGGCAGCGCGGGCUUCGGCCUGGCGGCGAGUGGCGAACGGGUGAGUAAUGCAUCGGAACGUGCCCAGUAGUGGGGGAUAGCCCGGCGAAAGCCGGAUUAAUACCGCAUACGACCUGGGGGUGAAAGCGGGGGACCGAAAGGCCUCGCGCUAUUGGAGCGGCCGAUGUCGGAUUAGCUAGUUGGUGGGGUAAAGGCUUACCAAGGCGACGAUCCGUAGCUGGUCUGAGAGGACGACCAGCCACACUGGGACUGAGACACGGCCCAGACUCCUACGGGAGGCAGCAGUGGGGAAUUUUGGACAAUGGGGGCAACCCUGAUCCAGCCAUGCCGCGUGCGGGAAGAAGGCCUUCGGGUUGUAAACCGCUUUUGUUCGGGAAGAAAUCCUCUGGGCUAAUACCCCGGGGGGAUGACGGUACCGGAAGAAUAAGCACCGGCUAACUACGUG
RNAcentral lists this ribosomal RNA (484 nucleotides) under uncultured bacterium. Its description in RNAcentral is "partial 16S ribosomal RNA". It matches the Rfam family "Bacterial small subunit ribosomal RNA", at positions 28 to 507 of the family's 1533-position model. The record is from RNAcentral.